RNAcentral lists this small nuclear RNA (198 nucleotides) under Pogona vitticeps (central bearded dragon). RNAcentral describes it as "U2 spliceosomal RNA (ENSPVIG00000012584.1)". The stretch from base 1 to 172 matches the Rfam family "U2 spliceosomal RNA". Rfam says of the family: U2 is a small nuclear RNA (snRNA) component of the spliceosome (involved in pre-mRNA splicing). Complementary binding between U2 snRNA (in an area lying towards the 5' end but 3' to hairpin I) and the branchpoint sequence (BPS) of the intron results the bulging out of an unpaired adenosine, on the BPS, which initiates a nucleophilic attack at the intronic 5' splice site, thus starting the first of two transesterification reactions that mediate splicing. Lineage: Eukaryota; Metazoa; Chordata; Lepidosauria; Squamata; Agamidae. The record is from RNAcentral.
AUCACUUCUCAGACUUUUGGCUAAGAUAAAGUGUAGCAUUUGUUCUUACCAGUCCAAGAUCUGAUCAUCAUCAUUAUUAUUUCUCAGGAAUAGAUUAUAUUGCUGUUGUUAUUAUUUCUUAGCAACUUGUUGUUGUUGCUAGUGCAAGGGUCAGACCAAGGAGCAAGCCAAAAAUUAGGAGUCAAGUCCCAGAACAUU